This 253-nucleotide ribosomal RNA is filed under the name uncultured bacterium. RNAcentral describes it as "partial 16S ribosomal RNA". It matches the Rfam family "Bacterial small subunit ribosomal RNA", at positions 524 to 776 of the family's 1533-position model. The record is from RNAcentral.
UACGGAGGGGGCUAGCGUUGUUCGGAAUUACUGGGCGUAAAGCGCACGUAGGCGGAUUGGAAAGUCAGAGGUGAAAUCCCAGGGCUCAACCUUGGAACUGCCUUUGAAACUCCCAGUCUUGAGGUCGUGAGAGGUGGGUGGAAUUCCGAGUGUAGAGGUGAAAUUCGUAGAUAUUCGGAGGAACACCAGUGGCGAAGGCGGCCCACUGGCACGAUACUGACGCUGAGGUGCGAAAGCGUGGGGAGCAAACAGG